RNAcentral lists this non-coding RNA (31 nucleotides) under Homo sapiens (human). The record is from RNAcentral. Lineage: Eukaryota; Metazoa; Chordata; Mammalia; Primates; Hominidae.
UGACCAAGGCCAACGCCUGAGUUCUUCCACU